Long non-coding RNA from Anguilla rostrata (American eel), 2072 nucleotides. RefSeq lists it as uncharacterized. The transcript has 2 exons. The record is from RefSeq and is a predicted model, not a curated record. Lineage: Eukaryota; Metazoa; Chordata; Actinopteri; Anguilliformes; Anguillidae.
UUUACUCGUGCGCCCAUCAGCUAUUGCUACAACAACAACCUCUAUACCUGGUUGUUCGCAGCAGGCAGUCAUGACAAGCACAUUUGAACAAGUGCAUCUGUCCAGGACCCGUCAUUAACACACGGGGUCGCUCUACCAAAAACGAAAAGAAACAAGAAACAAGAAAAUCUGGUUUUUAAAUGUUUUUUUAAAGAGUGUCCUGAUAUUUGUAAUAGCCUAUACUGUUGCAACUGAUACUUUUGUGGUCUUGGUGGGCCAGGCUGCACAAUCCAUUGUUUGUUCCAAGUAAAUUGCUGCAAUUUGUCCCUAAGGACUAUCUUACCAAACUUGGGGUUCGUACAAGAUCAUGACUGAUCAAAAAGGGAGGACUGGUUGAGAUGGGAACACGAACUUCGCACUCAACGACUAUCAUUUCUGGUCUACUCAUUCAAGUGAGUGGAUCAUGCGAUUUUUUGCACGUUGUGAAGGACGCCGAUCAUUUAACGAGGACAGCCGUUAUAAAGAAGAGCUGGGCGGCGAGGAAGUACUGCUGCUGCUGCCUGCCUGCCAAAAGUUCCCCGAUGGAAUUAUACAACGGUGCAGGUCCCCUCAAACUCAUCCCGUCGAUGGCAGCGCUUUUUGCGAUCUCCUUAUCCGAGCGGCUCAGCGACUGCGAUUCGCCAGUGAGUCUGCACAAGGAUCCGCCACUGAUCUCUGUGUCAAGUUAUGGCAGGCCCCCAAUGUUCUGAUUACCACCGAAGGGAACGCAACAGUUGACAUAGCUGGGAUAAUAUCAUAUUCUUGAGACAAUUUUAAAAUAGAGCGCUCAUUAUUUAAUAGUGGUUCACUGAUGGCAAUUGAGUGGCCUUUCUGUGUGUCUUGAUUUUUUUUUUUUUUCUGCGAAUGCUUAAACACUAAUGAAGUAGAAAGACUCUCCCUUCUCCAAGAAUGUGGAUUGAACCCAUUCACCCCUCUAAAAAAAACGUCUGCAAAAUUUGUAGUUAAAACCCUCAUAAAUUGCACACACACACACAAAAAAAAAUAAACGAUGGCAUGCGCACUCAAUGUGAGUGAAUCCUCUCCGGCACCCAGCCCCCCCCCCACCCCCCCCCCACCCCACCUCUUUCUUAAUUUAAUCUUCUCAACUGUUGGAUUGUCGACAGCUGAGUCUAGUAACUUCCAGCUGCCUGGAGCUGGGACCUGAUGCAGCAGCCCUGGCCCUGUCUCUGCUCUCUAAGCACCGAGCGCUUGGGUCCUGGCAACCCUCCGCAGGCCGCGCGCGGAGCAGGGCUAGCAGCGGAACAGGGCUAGCAGCGGAGCAGGGCUAGCCGCGGAACAGGGCUAGCAGCAGAACAGGGCUAGCAGCCGAGCAGGGCUAGCCGCGGAACAGGGCUAGCAGCGGAGCAGGGCUAGCACCGGAGCAGGGCUAGCAGCGGAACAGGGCUAGCAGCGGAGCAGGGCUAGCAGCGGAGCAGGGCUAGCAGCGGAGCAGAGCUAGCAGCCGAGCAGGGCUAGCAGCCGAGCAGAUCUAGCAGUGGUGCGGGGCUAGCAGCCGAGCAGGGCUAGCAGCGGAGCAGAGCUAGCAGCCGAGCAGGGCUAGCAGCGGAGCAGAGCUAGCAGCCGAGCAGGGCUAGCGGCGGAACAAAGCUCCUGAUAUGGUGGGAUACUGCUUUUUUUUAGGCCGUGGAAGAAGUUUGAGAAAGGCAGCAAGAUAAGUAAGGGGCUUUUAGGGGCAGCUGUGUUUCAUUAACUCAGUCAUAAUGCCCCUAAAAAUCCUUACUGCUCUUGCAAUGGUCAACAGAUUUCCACGAGUGGCCCGUUUCCGACCCCUCACACGUUUACCGCGAUUCCACGGAACUGACUCGCUGUGCGACGGUUUCAUACGCCUAUUUUUUGUAUGGUUUACAAUAAUUAUGUUUAAUAUUUCUUAAACUUUUUUGUUGUUGUGUUAGAACCACUGGCUAUUGUGCAUGUAUGCAGAUAACAAACAUAAUAUGGUGUAUGUAUUUUUUUGUUUUUCUGCAUGUUUUUUGAAGUAUGACAUGUAUCUGACUUGUAUCUGGGACUAAAAUAAAUAAAGUAAUAUGAUUGCA